Molecule: ribosomal RNA, 474 nt
Filed under: uncultured organism
Description: partial 16S ribosomal RNA
Rfam family: Bacterial small subunit ribosomal RNA
Source: RNAcentral
ACUCCUACGGGAGGCAGCAGUGGGGAAUAUUGCACAAUGGGCGCAAGCCUGAUGCAGCCAUGCCGCGUGUAUGAAGAAGGCCUUCGGGUUGUAAAGUACUUUCAGCGGGGAGGAAGGCGAUAAGGUUAAUAACCUUGUCGAUUGACGUUACCCGCAGAAGAAGCACCGGCUAACUCCGUGCCAGCAGCCGCGGUAAUACGGAGGGUGCAAGCGUUAAUCGGAAUUACUGGGCGUAAAGCGCACGCAGGCGGUCUGUCAAGUCGGAUGUGAAAUCCCCGGGCUCAACCUGGGAACUGCAUUCGAAACUGGCAGGCUAGAGUCUUGUAGAGGGGGGUAGAAUUCCAGGUGUAGCGGUGAAAUGCGUAGAGAUCUGGAGGAAUACCGGUGGCGAAGGCGGCCCCCUGGACAAAGACUGACGCUCAGGUGCGAAAGCGUGGGGAGCAAACAGGAUUAGAAACCCUUGUAGUCCCAUGA